GUGUGCAAUAAUUAUUUAAACAAAAUUAGGCAGGUGCAUGUGGUUAAGCACUCAGAUGGGAGACCACCUGGGAAUACACAGCACUAGACA
This 90-nucleotide ribosomal RNA is filed under the name Amphilophus citrinellus (Midas cichlid). The record is from RNAcentral. Lineage: Eukaryota; Metazoa; Chordata; Actinopteri; Cichliformes; Cichlidae.